RNAcentral lists this transfer RNA (73 nucleotides) under Felis catus (domestic cat). It matches the Rfam family "tRNA". Rfam says of the family: Transfer RNA (tRNA) molecules are approximately 80 nucleotides in length. Their secondary structure includes four short double-helical elements and three loops (D, anti-codon, and T loops). Further hydrogen bonds mediate the characteristic L-shaped molecular structure. tRNAs have two regions of fundamental functional importance: the anti-codon, which is responsible for specific mRNA codon recognition, and the 3' end, to which the tRNAs corresponding amino acid is attached (by aminoacyl-tRNA synthetases). tRNAs cope with the degeneracy of the genetic code in two manners: having more than one tRNA (with a specific anti-codon) for a particular amino acid; and 'wobble' base-pairing, i.e. permitting non-standard base-pairing at the 3rd anti-codon position. The record is from Rfam by way of RNAcentral. Lineage: Eukaryota; Metazoa; Chordata; Mammalia; Carnivora; Felidae.
ACCUGGCUGCCUCAGUAGGUACAGGAUGUGACUUCUGAUCCCAGGGUCGUGAGUUCAAGUCCCACGUUGGGCA